This 698-nucleotide long non-coding RNA is filed under the name Oryza sativa Indica Group (long-grained rice). Its description in RNAcentral is "lncRNA OsLiXu_06g0014150". The record is from RNAcentral. Lineage: Eukaryota; Viridiplantae; Streptophyta; Magnoliopsida; Poales; Poaceae.
GCUUACACCGUCGUUUUUGCUCCCUUUUGGCUGCCUGUGCUGCCGCGUUCGAUUCGCCGCUGCUUGGUCUCGUUUGGUUCCAUCCGCUAUGGCAGAGGGCCGGGAUUUGCACGGCGUGGAUCGCUGCUUCCAUGGUUCUUGAACCUGUUCAUCAGCACAGCAAAGGUCUUCCGCGGCGGCAGCUCGCGUGCGGACCCUCCUGUCUUUCCUUCGCUUUCUGGAUCGACUCGUUCGUGUCUUCUCUGUCUUGUCCUCCUCUCGUACUUGCUUCGUCCUUGUUGUCCCACGGCGUUCGCGGGCCUCUUCGUCCGAGCCUGUGACCCUCUCCAGAGCGUGCACGAGCCUGCAGCCAUGGAGGCUGUCAGGUACCUGCAGCGGCGAUAUGGUUUUCUUGUGCGCGACUAUAAUUUCCAAUCUAUGUUAGCAUAUAGAACGAUAGCAAAGUGUGCUGUUGAGACUGCGUUGUUGGCUUGUGGGUGUAUCACGCGAUAUAGAUCGUGCUGCUCACACACGCCUCCACGUUGUGAUGAUAUCAUUCAGUCGUGUGCUUCGCUGUGGUUUAAUCUUUAUAUUGAGGAUGGUGAUCACUCUGCUCAUGUGUAGAGCACCCCUGAUGUAUGCCACUCGGAGAUGUUGUGUUUUCUGUAUGCUACUCUUUGUUUUAUAUGCUGUUAUUUAUUGAGGUGUUGUACUUGUCG